CGAUGGGCCAAUGAGCCAAAUUUCGCAGUAGACCCGGAGGCCGGAGCGCAGCUGACAUCGGGAGAGAACCGGAGCCUUGUGCUGUCCCAGCUGGGGGCAUCCAUAGCGCUAGAUCCCGGUGCCUUUCCUAGAAGGAUUUUGCAUAUCUCAUGGCUGGCGGUACUGUCUUUCACCCCCUUUUGUAGGAGAAGAGAACAAUCAAGCUUGGCUGCAGUGUGCCACAGCGCGGCACAGUGGUCUACCCAAAAGAAGAAUUUGUACUGCCACUGAGCUCAGCUGCAUAUAUGCUAUGCUUUGGUGCUCCCUCCACCAAAUUGAUAAUUUUCAUUUUCUUUUCCCCCACUCCAGAAAGCAGCAGCACUCACUGUCACGAUCGCCGUCGCUGUCAGGUGGGCCCCACCGCAUCACCGAAAAGAGGAAGAGCAGAUAUCAUCAUCGCCCAUAUAUAAACCUCUCCACCUGCCUUCCUGGCCAAUUAUUUUCUUCCAGGCUCGGCUCCAGCGACCGACGCCCCCCCAAUGUUUCCACUAUUACCAAUCCGGCUCUCAGAAGUCUACUCUUCGUCCAGUGCGCGCGGAAAAGUAAUAAUAGCAACCAGGUCCCUCCAGUGAUUACCACCUGUCUCUGACCCGCUCGGCUCCCCUAAUCCCAAUCCCAGUCCCAGCCCUCCACGCGUGCGUGCGCCGGCGAUGCCGACGCCGGUGGCCGCGGCGCGGCAGUGCCUCUCGCCGACCGCCGUCACCGCCCUCGACGCGGCCGUCGUCUCCGCGCGCCGCCGCGCCCACGCGCAGACAACCUCGCUCCACCUCAUCUCCGCCCUGCUCGCCCCUCCCGCCCCGCCGCUCCUCCGCGACGCGCUCGCGCGGGCACGCAGCGCCGCCUAUGCCCCGCGCGUCCAGCUCAAGGCGCUCGAGCUCUGCUUCGCCGUCUCGCUCGACAGGCUCCCCUCCGCCUCCUCCUCCUCCUCUGCCUCCGGCGCCGACAACGCGGAGCCGCCCGUCUCCAACUCGCUCAUGGCGGCCGUCAAGCGCUCGCAGGCCAACCAGCGCCGCAACCCGGACACCUUCCAUUUCUACCACCAGGCGGCCACCGCGCAGGCCCCCGCCGCCGUCAAGGUCGAGCUCUCGCAGCUCGUGCUCGCCAUCCUCGACGACCCCCUCGUCAGCCGCGUCUUCAGCGACGCGGGCUUCCACAGCGGCGACAUCAAGCUCGCCAUCCUCCGCCCUGCGCCGCCCAUGCCCAUGCUCGGCCGCCUCCCCACGCGGAGCCGCCCGCCGCCUCUCUUCCUCUGUAGCUUCGCCGCCGCCGACGACGCCGACGUGCCUUCGCCAGCCGCAGGGAGCCUCGCCGGCGGCACCGGCGAGGAGAACUUCCGCCGCAUCGGCGAGGUUCUCGCCCGAGGCCGCAACCCCAUGCUCGUCGGCGUCGGGGCUGCGUCCGCCGCUGCCGACUUCGCCGCCCUCUCGCCGUACCGUGUCCUCCCCGUCGGUACAAGCUCCAUCGACCAGACGGAGCUCGGCUUGGCGGCCGCCAUGGCCAGCGCCACCUCCGGUCUCAUCAUAAGCAUCGGUGACCUCAAAGAACUGGUCCCCGACGACGGCGAGCUCCAAGAGAUGGGGCGCCGGGUGGUGGCGGAGGUGACGCGAGUGCUGGAGACGCACAGAGCUGGCCGUGUCUGGGUGAUGGGGUGGUCGGCCACGUACGAGACCUACCUCACCUUCUUGUCCAAGUUCCCCUUGCUCGACAAGGAUUGGGAGCUCCAGCUGCUGCCGAUCACGGCAGUGCGCGCCGGAGGCAGCCCCGCUGCGCUCAUCCCUCAGGCAACCACCGCCGCGGCUUUCUCCAAGCCUGCAAGCUUUAUGGAUUCGCUCAUUCCUUUUGGAGGACUUGUCAGCGAUACCUACGAAGCUAACAGCCUCACAGCAAAUUCUUGUCCUCCGGCCCUUCGGUGUCAACAGUGCAAUGAUAGAUAUGAGCAAGAAGUUGCUACUAUCAUUAGAGGAAGUGGCAUUACAGCUGAAGACCAUCACCAAGGAGGUCUACCUUCGCUGCUGCAGAAUGGCAGCAUGAUAGGUGCUAACAAUGGAUUUGAUGCAGUCAAGUGCAGGUUAGAGAUCAGAUGGUAUUGAAUUCAAAAAUAUCGAAUCUACAGAAGAAGUGGAACGAGUACUGCCUGCGGCUCCACCAAGGCUGCCAUAGGAUCAACAGUGUUCCAUACCAGUUAUUUCCGCAUUAUAUUGGUGUUCCAGCCAAUGGGGAAAGAGCAGAAAAUCUGAGCAAAGGUUCUGAAUCAGUUGAACUUCAAAGGGAGGUUAUUAGACCUUCUGUAGUGUCUGUUCCACAUACCAAUGCUACCACAAAGAGUAUUUCACCCCCAUCUAUCUCUAACUUAAGGAAUGACAACCUUACAUUGGAACUUCAAGCUGGGUUUUCAAAGAGUGAUGAAAAGCAGUCCCGACAUGAAACCCUGUCAUACUGUCAUGAUCGCGAAGAUCACGUGUCACCAUCAUCCGCUGCAUCUGUGGCGACUGACUUGGUUUUAGGCACGCCUCAUGAAUCUUCUUCCAAGGGUACAAAUUCUGCCAGCUGCAAACAUGUAGCUGAUGCAGAGAUAUCUGUACCCAAGAAAGUUGAUGAUUUGAAUCUGAAACCUCCUCAGAUCUUUGCACAACCCUUUGCUUGUUCCAAGAGUUCCACAAAUAUGGGGCAAACAUCACCUAGUGCUGGGCAUUCAGCAGCUUCUGGAGGUUUGUCUGCUUUUGGUCAUUGGCAGAAACCUUCACACCUCGGAGCACAAGGUUCUGAUUUGAGUAAUUACAAGCUACUUGUGGAACGCCUGUUCCAGGUUGUUGGAAGGCAGGAGGAAGCCUUGAGUGCUAUUUGUGGUUCCAUUGUGCGGUGCAAGUCAAUGGAGAGGCGCCAUGGUCCAAACAAGAAGAAUGACAUGUGGUUUAGCUUUCAUGGUUCUGAUUGCAUGGCCAAACGCAGAGUUGCUUUGGCGCUUGCAGAGCUCGUACAUGGCAGCAAAGAGAACAUGAUUUAUCUGGACCUGAGUCUCAAGGAUUGGGCCGACUCAAGCUACAGAGGAAAGACUGGCACUGACUAUAUUGUUGACGAGCUGAGCAAGAAACGGCGAUCUGUCAUCUUCCUUGAUAAUGUCGAUAAAGCUGACUGCCUUCUCCAGGACACCCUGACUCAUGCCAGUAAGACUGGUAGAUUCCGAGACUUGCGUGGCAAGGAAGUUGACAUUAAUGACUCCAUUGUUGUGCUGUCAACAAGAACAACCAGAGGCUCCAAAAGUGUGUCUGUUGGAGUGGAAGAGGGUCUUACUUUCACUGAAGAUAAGAUCCUGGCAGCUAGUGGGCAUCAACUGAAGAUCCUGGUAGAAUCAUGUACCGCGAUCAUGAGUGAAGGCCACGGUGAUAAGGUGAUAUUUUCCCCCGGGCAUCCUCUCGCCAAAAUUCGUGCAUCUUUGUACUGUGGGGGUUCAGUCAGCAAGAGAAAGUUCAACAUUUCUGAUGACCAAGAAAAGCUGCAGGGGGAAUCACCGAGCAUUUCCAAGCGACUGCACAGAACAUCAAGUGUUCCGUUCGACCUGAACCUCCCCAUCGACGAGGAUGGUUCGAGCGACGCUGAUGACCACAGCGGCAGCAAUGACAACUCAUAUGGCACUCCAGAGAGAUCCAUGGACAGCCUCUUGUGUUUGGUUGACGAGUCCAUCGAUUUCAAGCCAUUCGACUUUGACAAAGUCGCCGACUACGUGCUGCAGGAGUUGAGCAAUACACUCCGCAAAGUUCUGGGCUCCGGCUGCACACUGGAAAUUGAUGUCGGUGCAAUGGAGCAGAUAGUUGCAGCGGCAUGGGCAUCAGAGGGCAAGAGGCCUCUCCAGGCCUGGCUGGAUCAGGUGUUCGCUGGAAGCCUAGGGGAACUGAAGGUCAAGUGUGGUAAGCAUGCCAGCAGUUCCACUCUUAUACUAGUGGCCUGUGAGGACAUGGCAGCAGUCAGGGAGGACAAUGGUUUUGGAGGUUUGCUCCCCUCCAGAAUAAUUCUAGAAUGGUGAAAUGAUGGUAUCUGUAUAGGGAUAAUUGUAAUUAUUUCUAGCUAUUAGUCCACAAUAGUAUAGCAUUAUUUUGCCGGGAAAUAAUUUGUAGCCUAGUUGAUGAUGCAUUGCCUUCAUGUAUAUCGGCAAGUAUAUAUCGAUUGUAACACUUGUGGAUUUGCCAAUAUAUCACUGUUAUAUAUGGUGAUGCAGCGGUAGAGUGCUGAAGUCCAUAAUCGGUGGGUAAUUCCAGGUUUGGCCAAUUUCUCCUGCUAAUUUGUAGGUUCAUAUUGAAAUAUGUAAAUGCUAGUGGCUUACAUUCUAAUUAGUAUCUAAGAGUUUGGCCAACUUGUUUUGC
RNAcentral lists this ribosomal RNA (4397 nucleotides) under Triticum aestivum (bread wheat). RNAcentral's name for it is "partial small subunit ribosomal RNA". Lineage: Eukaryota; Viridiplantae; Streptophyta; Magnoliopsida; Poales; Poaceae. The record is from RNAcentral.